ACAAAGGCAUCCCCUAGUAGCGGCGAGUGAGCGGGAAGAGCUCAAAUUUGUAAUCUGGCGUCUUUCAGGCGUCCGAGUUGUAAUCUAUAGAAGUGUUUUCCGUGCUGGACCAUGUCCAAGUCCCUUGGAACAGGGUAUCAAAGAGGGUGACAAUCCCGUACUUGACAUGACCACCAGUGCUCUGUGAUACACUUUCUACGAGUCGAGUUGUUUGGGAAUGCAGCUCAAAAUGGGUGGUAAAUUCCAUCUAAAGCUAAAUAUUGGCGAGAGACCGAUAGCGAACAAGUACCGUGAGGGAAAGAUGAAAAGCACUUUGGAAAGAGAGUUAAACAGUACGUGAAAUUGUUGAAAGGGAAACGAUUGAAGUCAGUCGUGUUCAUUGGACUCAGCCGGUUUUCGGUGUAUUUCCUUUGAACGGGUCAACAUCAGUUUUGUCCGGUGGAUAAAGGCAGGAAGAAAGUGGCUCCCUCGGGAGUGUUAUAGCUUUCUGUCACAUACACUGGAGGAGACUGAGGACUGCAGCUCGCCUUUUGGCCGGGGUUCGCCCACGUUCGAGCUUAGGAUGUUGACAUAAUGGCUUUAAACGACCCGUCUUAAC
This 598-nucleotide ribosomal RNA is filed under the name Vanrija humicola. RNAcentral describes it as "eukaryotic LSU rRNA". It matches the Rfam family "Eukaryotic large subunit ribosomal RNA", at positions 67 to 658 of the family's 3401-position model. Lineage: Eukaryota; Fungi; Basidiomycota; Tremellomycetes; Trichosporonales; Trichosporonaceae. The record is from RNAcentral.